RNAcentral lists this ribosomal RNA (407 nucleotides) under uncultured bacterium. RNAcentral describes it as "partial 16S ribosomal RNA". It matches the Rfam family "Bacterial small subunit ribosomal RNA", at positions 30 to 526 of the family's 1533-position model. The record is from RNAcentral.
AUUGAACGCUAGCGGGAUGCCUUACACAUGCAAGUCGAACGGAGUGGCGAACGGGUGAGUAAUGUAUCGGAACGUGCCCAGUAGCGGGGGAUAACUUCGCGAAUGCGUAGCUAAUCCCGCAUUCUUUUUGAACGGCCGAUAUCGGAUUAGCUAGUUGGUGGGGUAACGGCUCACCAAGGCGACGAUCCGUAGCUGGUGUGAGAGGACGACCAGCCACACUGGGACUGAGACACGGCCCAGACUCCUACGGGAGACAGCAGUGGGGAAUGUUGGACAAUGGGGGAAGCCCUGAUCCAGCCAUCCCGCGUGUGCGAUGAAGGCCUUAGGGUUGUAAAGCACUUUUGGCAGGAAAGCGGUACCUGCAGAAUAAGCGCCGGCUAACUACGUGCCAGCAGCCGCGGUAAUUC